Molecule: long non-coding RNA, 1898 nt
Organism: Eupeodes corollae
Lineage: Eukaryota; Metazoa; Arthropoda; Insecta; Diptera; Syrphidae
Exons: 4
Source: RefSeq, a predicted model, not a curated record
AAAAUUGUAAAUACUUUGAAUAUCUACAUCCAACAUUUUAAACUUCAAUCGAAAUUUGUAAUCUAUAGCAAUAUUGGUGGCCCCUAUUUUUUUUUCUUCCAGACCCCAGAGCAUAUUUUUCUAUGUUAAUUUAAUCCCUGUAAUCUGAAUUUUAUGCGAGUUAGCUUAAGUCAGUAAUUUAAUAAUCGACUAUUAAUAAUAUUAUCCAAAUCUCAUAUUUAUAUGUGCAUAUCCUUAUUCUAAUUAAAUUAAUUUAAAUUUCAAUAUACCCUUUUCACAAGUCCACAUCAGCUUCUCCGGCAUCUGAAUCUCAAUUCUAAACUUAUACCCUCUUCCCUAAAACCUACAAUCUAAAACUUCCAUCAUUUGCCAUAAGUACAUACAUAAUAGUACGUAUUUAGUUUAACGCAUACAAAAUUUCCCUCGAAUUAUACAUAAUGUCCUAAAUAGUGAAGGAUCUACUUCAACUCUCCAAAUCUCCAACUUCAUCGUUUAAACAUUUAACCACGACAAAUCUGGCUUAAACGAGAGAGCGUGUGUACAGAUUUUGAUAUGCUUGCAUCAGUAAAAUUUAUUUGUUUUCGUCAUUUAAUUUUAUUUCAAUAACAUCAUGGAAAGGGAUAUUUUGGGAGUAGGAUAUUUGAUAUAUGGAAGGAUAUGCUGAAAAGCAGGGUGCUGGAUGAAGACGAGGAGCUUGCCUAGAUUGGUUGAUGGGGAAUGGAUGAAUGUUCGAAAUUUUAGACCGCUCAAUAUGAUGUUUGUAAAGCAAUUUUGCGGUGUUAUGUGAUAGUAAACAUAAUGUCUGUCAUAAAGAUGAGCUGGAGCAUGGUUUUGGGAAUACAUAUAAGGUAUAAGCGGACGGUGAUGUUGGGCAUGAAAGUGCCACAUGUGCAAUCGAUAGAUUUACUAUAAUGGUCGCUGUUUUAUUGCCCCCAGGCUGGAUCCCCGGAAAAUCAAGGAAAGAGAUGAUAUCACAGCUUGAGAUGACGUCGACCGACGACGGACGUAGGAGUAGAACGAGGAUGGUCUGCUAUACGGUGCUACAUCCACAGCCCUCAACUAUCUCGAAGGUUUCAAGAAACCCUUCCGUCGUCAUCGCUGCCACCGCGCGCUAGGUACGCAAAACCCAGCGAUAUACUUUAUUUGAAUGGCAGGCAUCAGGAUCCGAUUGGAAUUUAUAUUCGUAACUAUGAAUUUAAUAUGAGAACCACCACAGCAUGCGCUGGUGCUGCGCACCUCCAACACAAAGAUGGGGCCACGAGCUUUAUACCCAGGAUGGAAUGGUAUACUGGUCUGGUGCCACAAAACCCAUCACCGCCGCCGCCGCUAGCGGCAGGUUUUAUCAAGGUGGUGUAUUGUACAAGAGCUAUAUUGACAUUGGAGGUGCUUCCAAGCCGCCGGGAGCGAGACGAGAUACCCCAGAUACAGAUCGAAUAAACCGGAGCUUUGGCUGAUGUUAAAAUUGUUCAUUUCUUGCUUUGAUGAUUUUUCAACCCUGUGGCCCUGUGUGGUUCGUUUUUUGUAUUCCUUCAAUAUUCUGAACGGCUAGAAAUAGAAGAACACCAUGAAGUAUUUUUGGUUUACAAGCAUUUGCUAGCUUCCUACAGCUCCAUAGGUACUCGUGCUAUUGACUGUAACCAAAAGGUCGUUGUAACGUGGGCUGCGCUAUGAUUCUGAUGGUGCCUCGUCGGCGUGGUGGCUGCUAUGGCAUUCGGGUUACAAUUUUGUUCUUAUUUUUCAUAUUGAAAGUUAAUAAUUGUAUUGCCAAAAGGAUCUGGAUUUUUGGAUUAUGGAAAUAUGUUACACUUUUGUAUGAAAAAUUCAUAUCUUGAUGGAAUGGGUGUUUUUGGGUCUGUCGUAAAAGGUGUGUGAUUAUUUUUAUAGACAACCUUCACAAA